UACAGAGGGGGCAAGCGUUAUUCGGAAUUAUUGGGCGUAAAGGGCGCGUAGGCGGCCAGGCAAGUGGAAGGUGAAAUCCCUCGGCUUAACCGAGGAACUGCCCUCCAAACUGCUUGGCUUGAGACCGGGAGAGGUGAGUGGAAUUCCCAGUGUAGCGGUGAAAUGCGUAGAUAUUGGGAGGAACACCAGUGGCGAAGGCGGCUCACUGGACCGGUACUGACGCUGAUGCGCGAAAGCGUGGGGAGCAAACAGG
This 253-nucleotide ribosomal RNA is filed under the name uncultured bacterium. RNAcentral describes it as "partial 16S ribosomal RNA". It matches the Rfam family "Bacterial small subunit ribosomal RNA", at positions 524 to 776 of the family's 1533-position model. The record is from RNAcentral.